UCUCAAACAUUGAAAUUAGCUUUGGCAUCAGCAUUCGUUUCAGAUGUCCUUCCCUUUGGUUAUUCUAAUUAGCCUAUUUUUAAGGUUACUAUAGUUUGUGAUUUUAGGUUAUUGCUUUCUUUAUAUCUUGAAUCCAAAUUAUAUAUUUUUACUCUUAAUAGGAAAAACUUAAAUAAAUAAUAGUCUUUCAUGUAAGUAUUAGUAGAUCUCAGCAACAUGUUUAUUCCAGCAGACAAUGUCUAAGAAAGACUGGUAAAGUUUUGAGGCAGAUUGUUUUAGUAUCAGAUUAAAGUUAAAUUAUAACUGUAUGGUGCCAGAAAUACGCUUUCCUCUCUGAGUGCAUUCUAGUCUGAUAUAAUGCUAGAAACUCCCUUUUUUUUGGAGUCAAAUUGUAAGAAAUUAAGAGAUGGUGUUGAGCUCUUCUGUUUUCAUUUUAAAGAUACCUGGAUAAGAAGCUCAGAGUCCACCUCUGAUAACCAGUGUUACACCUGCAGUCGUUUUAUAGGUACUGAAAUGUGGAGCCUCCCCCAGCCUACUCUCAGCUCCUGUUUUUCUGUUUUUGUUUUAAAGAUAUCUAGAAAAGAGGAUCUGUAGCCCUCUGAUAACUAACGCUAUGAUUGGAGCCAUUUCAUAGACACUGAAAUCUGGAAUCUUCCCCAAUCCACUUUUUGCUUUGUGGUUUUAUGUCUCUUUGCUUUGGACUCCGUUUGCUUCUGCUCGUGGUUUUUCUGGUUUAAAAGUGUCUUUUUCUUUUUAAAUAGAUGCUUCAAAAAAAAUACCCCGUGGCCUCCUCAACUUUAUACUCAAGCAGCUAGCUGCUUCUUGUUUAUAGAAAACUUUUUUCCUCAUCAUGGCAUCUCUGUUAGACUGUGUGUGUGCUUUCAUCUUUGCAUUUCGAUCACUUGUUAUCCAACGUUCUGCUUUCUUUGAACUCUUUUUUAGACUGCCUUUGAUUGGGACACAUUAUUAAAUAAGUAAUAAUUCUCUUUACUGUGUAGCUCUUAAGUUAGUAGUUUUUUCCUGCUGUACCCAUACUGUUUUUGCAGUAGUGGUAUGUUAUUGUUCUUCAUAUUUAGGGUGCCAUUCCUCCACGGGGGUAGGAGGUAUUUUACAAACUUUAAAUUGUUAAGUUGGGAGUAAUUCUCAGAACACCCUUCUGAGGUAAGACAAAAAUGCACCAAACGUUGUAAUAUGUUGGUCAUCCUACCUCACCCCUCCCCAAAGCUAUGAAACCAAAGAAGUCAAGCGCGAAUGAUUGGAUGGUAUUGUAAAUGCUAGUGAUGGGAGGAACAGGCAUUUUUUUUUUUUUAAACUCAUCCCCUUCUUUAAAUUGUGAAACAUAAUCUUUCUUCUUUCUUAAGGUUGAGGCCUGACUAAGAGAAAGUUUUCAGAAAGGAACACUAGUGAAGUGAAAGAAAUCUGAUGAAACUUCGAAAUUUAAUAGACAGAAAGGUUUUGUGUGGAAAGAAUGAAAAGAGACAAGAUUUGGCAGUAUCUUUCGCCUCUAAAUCAUGCCUGGGCUCUGUGGAGUUUUUCUUUAGUUGUCAUCUGUGCUGUAGCUUUUUUAUCUAGGCUGCUUUGUUUACCUUAUGCUUUCAGCUAUCUGGACAUUUGGAUCUCAACUGAGGAAACUUGUGAUGUCAGGUUGAAAAUCAAGGUCUUCUGAGAUGCUUCUCUGACACUCUGUACCUCAGAGAUGACUGCUGGGAAGGGCAUUUAAUGAACAAAGCAGCCAUGAUUGCAUCAGAUUCUUUGCCUAAUAAGGCAGCGUGUAAAUAAAUCUAUGUGUGAACUCACAGGGUUUUCUUCUCUGUAUUUCCUUAAAUGCACUUUCAUGUUUUUGUGUAUCUGUGAAUUUUCUCUAAGUGGCAAAUCUAUCAAAUAGAUGCAUCUUGAUUCAGUGAUUUGCAAGCUGUCUGGAACGUGGUUGUUUAGUGGAUUAGAGUAUUUUAAUCGUAUAUAUAAAUACAAUUCUUUUCUUGCCUGAAAUGUUAGACUUCUUUAGUAAAUAUUAGCCCCUAUUGUUUUGAGACAUCCAAAAUUUGAUACUCACUCUCUUUAUUUGAAACAACAACUCGCCAAAGAUCACAAAUGAGCUCUAGGCAUUUCUUUCAUUUGUAAAAUGAAAGCCUCAAUCUGGUGAAGCUCCGGUGAAACUGUACAUUCGAAAGGGCCAGCUUCAGGCCUGGCAUCUAGUGCUUGUGCAAUAUCUAAUAGUUUAAAAGAAAUGUCUGGGCUCACAGUACAAAGCUCUUACCCAUAAACCCAUUGCCAUCAAGUCAAUUUUGACUCAUAGCAACCCUAUAGGACAGAAUAGAACUGCCCUAUGGGGUUUCCAAGGAGCUCCUAGUGGAUUCAAACUGCCGACCUUUUGGUUAGCAGCCAUACACUUAAAUACUAUGCAACCAGGGUUUCCACAAAGCCCUUUGUUGUCUGUUUUUUUGAAUAGUGAUGAGAAGUUUGCUGUUGGCAGUUUAUUUUCACAUGAAAGAAUCGUAUAAAGUACACUUCAUGGCAGAAUGUAAAUUUUGUAAUAAGUGCAGAACGAUUUUCAAAUAGUGAUCACCAUUUCUGUGAGAUGGAUUACUAGUACUGAUUUCUAAUUUCAGAUUAAUAUAUUGCAUGAUUUUAGAUUAGAAGAAAAAGCAAAUAGCGAAAGGUAUUGUCCCUGAUGAAUCUUUAAAGCGUCGAGAAGACUCAGGGCUUCUGUCUUCCAUUCAUUCCAAAGAACAUUCUGUUAUGUGUUUUUCAAAUAAAGGCAUUAGUUAAGGGAAUGUUGGGGCAAUGGUCUGCCUCUACGCCUCCCAUCCAGGUUGCCUAAGUAAAGGCCUUGGGCCCAGAGCAUUCUCUGAUAAGGAGACUGGGAAUUGGGUUGCCUUCUCUCUCUCUCUUCCUUCUCCUUAUCAGAGAAGCUUCCUCUCUUUCUCUCUCUCUCUCCCUUCUCCCUAUCAGAGAAGCUUCCUCCCAUUCUGCUCACACAGUAACUUUCUCUGUCUCUUGCAAAUGCGUGGGCACCACAUGGCACCUGGCCAACCCCACUUCUGAAUCUGUUUGUAGUGGGGAGGGAACAGGGUCUCUGUACUAGGGCACAAGAGGGGUAAUGUGUACCCAAGUGUAAGAGCCAACUUUGAGGGGCGGACUGAAGGGGAAACAGGCUUUGUGUGUCCGAACAUGAGCACCCUCAUGUGGUCUGUUAGUUCACUACUGUUUGCUGAGUCAUUCUAAUAUAAACUCGUCACUUGUAGCCACUGUUGUCCACCACUAUAAAACCUCUGCCUUCCCGCUGCGGAACUCGGUACUGCAGCACCCAGGACUUGGCCUGCUAUGUAAGUCUCCCUAAUAAACUCUUUGCUGCAACACUGGAGUUGCCUGCUUUCUUUGGUCUCUGGGCACCCUCCAUUUUUGGAUGGAAGUUUCACAUUCCCGGUCCAUGCGUGGACAAUUGGUCAGUCAGCCAGGAAACUGAGGAAAUGGCGAGUGGGAGUGAGACCUCUGAGGGGGAAAUCCUGGGCUGACUAGUGACCUCCAUGUGGGGACAUCUGGCCUGUAUCCCUUUCUGCAGGGGAAAUCCUGGGCUGCCCAGAGACCGCCACAUGGGCAGGUCUGGCCAGUAUGCUUGAUGCCUGUGGACCACCACUUGAGUAUGGGGAUGCCCCCAAAAUGCCAAGCAGCAUACCCCAGUUGUGGGCAGAUGCAGGCCUUGAUAAGUGUGGAAGAGAAGCUAGGAGAAUAUUAGUGGCCAUGGGGUAGCUCCUGCUCUGGGCUGUUUGGCUGGUCACUAAGGCCCAGUUAGCUGCUGAAGCCCAUGUAAGAGCUUUCCAGAAAGAGUUACAGUUGGAAAGGGAUGUGGCAGCAGUCCUGUGUGGCCACGACUGACA
Long non-coding RNA from Loxodonta africana (African savanna elephant), 3878 nucleotides. RefSeq lists it as uncharacterized. Lineage: Eukaryota; Metazoa; Chordata; Mammalia; Proboscidea; Elephantidae. The transcript is spliced from 2 exons. The record is from RefSeq and is a predicted model, not a curated record.